This 191-nucleotide unclassified non-coding RNA is filed under the name uncultured Sebacina. RNAcentral's name for it is "sequence contains ITS2". The record is from RNAcentral. Lineage: Eukaryota; Fungi; Basidiomycota; Agaricomycetes; Sebacinales; Sebacinaceae.
GUACUCUCACACUCCAAUUUUGGAGAAGUGGACUUGGGUGUUGCUGCUUUGCAGUGGCUCAUCUUAAAUACGCUAGUGCAACUCAUAGUUGGAUAUAGUACAGCGUGAUAAGUAUCUUCGCUGGCGCCUCAUGAAGAGGGUAUCCGAUUGGGAGCUCUGUGCUUCCAACCGUCCUCGGACAAUGACUGACA